CCUACGGGGGGCUGCAGUGGGGAAUAUUGGACAAUGGGGGGAACCCUGAUCCAGCCAUGCCGCGUGUGUGAAGAAGGCCCUCGGGUUGUAAAGCACUUUCAGUGAGGAAGAACGCCUGGUGGUUAAUACCCAUCAGGAAAGACAUCACUCACAGAAGAAGCACCGGCUAACUCCGUGCCAGCAGCCGCGGUAAUACGGAGGGUGCGAGCGUUAAUCGGAAUUACUGGGCGUAAAGCGCGCGUAGGUGGCUUGAUAAGCCGGUUGUGAAAGCCCCGGGCUCAACCUGGGAACGGCAUCCGGAACUGUCAAGCUAGAGUGCAGGAGAGGAAGGUAGAAUUCCCGGUGUAGCGGUGAAAUGCGUAGAGAUCGGGAGGAAUACCAGAGGCGAAGGCGGCCUUCUGGACUGACACUGACACUGAGGUGCGAAAGCGUGGGUAGCAAACAGGAUUAGAUACCCUAGUAGUC
RNAcentral lists this ribosomal RNA (465 nucleotides) under Vreelandella stevensii. Its description in RNAcentral is "partial 16S ribosomal RNA". It matches the Rfam family "Bacterial small subunit ribosomal RNA", at positions 338 to 795 of the family's 1533-position model. The record is from RNAcentral. Lineage: Bacteria; Pseudomonadati; Pseudomonadota; Gammaproteobacteria; Oceanospirillales; Halomonadaceae.